Molecule: transfer RNA, 81 nt
Filed under: Triticum aestivum (bread wheat)
Lineage: Eukaryota; Viridiplantae; Streptophyta; Magnoliopsida; Poales; Poaceae
Rfam family: tRNA
About the family: Transfer RNA (tRNA) molecules are approximately 80 nucleotides in length. Their secondary structure includes four short double-helical elements and three loops (D, anti-codon, and T loops). Further hydrogen bonds mediate the characteristic L-shaped molecular structure. tRNAs have two regions of fundamental functional importance: the anti-codon, which is responsible for specific mRNA codon recognition, and the 3' end, to which the tRNAs corresponding amino acid is attached (by aminoacyl-tRNA synthetases). tRNAs cope with the degeneracy of the genetic code in two manners: having more than one tRNA (with a specific anti-codon) for a particular amino acid; and 'wobble' base-pairing, i.e. permitting non-standard base-pairing at the 3rd anti-codon position.
Source: Rfam by way of RNAcentral
GCCUUGAUGGUGAAAUGGUAGACAUGCAAGACUCCAAAUCCCAUGCUGAAGAGCGUGGAGGUUCAAGUCCUCUUCAAGGCA